UUUCGCUCCGAUGCUCUAGAUUACGCGAAGACCUUACCUACCCUUGACAUCGAGAGAACUUUCCAGAGAUGGAUUGGUGCCUUCGGGAACUCUCAGACAGGUGCUGCAUGGCUGUCGUCAGCUCGUGUUGUGAAAUGUUGGGUUAAGUCCCGUAACGAGCGCAACCCUUGUCCCUAUUUGCCAGCGAUUCGGUCGGGAACUCUAGGGAGACUGCCGGUGACAAACCGGAGGAAGGUGGGGACGACGUCAAGUCAUCAUGGCCCUUACGGGUAGGGCUACACACGUGCUACAAUGGCCGGUACAAUGGGUUGCGAAUCCGCGAGGUGGAGCUAAUCCCAUAAAGCCGGUCUCAGUCCGGAUCGGAGUCUGCAACUCGACUCCGUGAAGUCGGAAUCGCUAGUAAUCGUGAAUCAGAAUGUCACGGUGAAUACGUUCCCGGGUCUUGUA
This 447-nucleotide ribosomal RNA is filed under the name uncultured bacterium. RNAcentral describes it as "bacterial SSU rRNA". It matches the Rfam family "Bacterial small subunit ribosomal RNA", at positions 944 to 1385 of the family's 1533-position model. The record is from RNAcentral.